RNAcentral lists this ribosomal RNA (253 nucleotides) under uncultured bacterium. Its description in RNAcentral is "partial 16S ribosomal RNA". It matches the Rfam family "Bacterial small subunit ribosomal RNA", at positions 524 to 776 of the family's 1533-position model. The record is from RNAcentral.
UACAUGGGGUGCAAACGUUGCUCGGAAUCACUGGGCGUAAAGGGUGCGUAGGCGGGUCUUUAAGUCAGGGGUGAAAUCCUGGAGCUCAACUCCAGAACUGCCUUUGAUACUGAAGAUCUUGAGUUCGGGAGAGGUGAGUGGAACUGCGAGUGUAGAGGUGAAAUUCGUAGAUAUUCGGAGGAACACCAGUGGCGAAGGCGGCUCACUGGUCCGGUACUGACGCUGAGGUGCGAAAGCGUGGGGAGCAAACAGG